Long non-coding RNA from Apis cerana (Asiatic honeybee), 2307 nucleotides. RefSeq lists it as uncharacterized. Lineage: Eukaryota; Metazoa; Arthropoda; Insecta; Hymenoptera; Apidae. The record is from RefSeq and is a predicted model, not a curated record.
AAAGAAGAUUAAAAAGUUUUAUCCAGGUAGAAAAAUUUUUCAUUAUUUGUUGAGAGUUACAAGACAGUCUUAAUUGAAAAGUAUGUCGAAAUAAAUGUCGUGUUAGCAAUGAAUAAAUCAGCAUAGAAAGGUGUCUACUAUAAUAUGUAAAAAUUGGCACGUUUUCGAUUAGAUGGAAAUACUAAAACUUUAUUUAAUGCCUCGACAAAACUAUCAUAAAAAUUGAUAUAACAUUAUAUACAGAUUUAUUCAAAUCUAUAAUUAAGAAAUAAUAUAUCAAGAUAAUAUAAUUUGAUAAUAAUUUCUUAUAAAUAAUCAAUGAAAAAAAAAUCCAAAUUGAACAAACCAAAAAGCAAAACAUAUUAGUACUAUAAAGUAGUAAAUUUUGAAAAUCCUUUAUACAUAACUCUUACUAAUAUUUGAUAUUAAUUAAUAAAAAUCACUAAUAUUUAGUGACACUAUAUAUCAUCUUAAUACCUACCGUAAUAAUUUAGUAGAUUAGUUAGUCUGCUAAUAAAUAUCGACCAGUACAGAAAAUACAUACAAGAAACUUCAUGAAGCAAAGUUAAAAUAAACCGUUACUGGUCUGUGUAGCGUGACAAAGAUGAAAGCGGCUAAAAAAUAUCAGUUAUAAUAGAAAAUGAGAACACGAUUUUAAAUUUCGUAAUCAAUACAUAUAUAUUUAUGCCAUCGAAAUCAGAAGAGAUUGUUCGAUAUUAUAUACUAUACAUAUUAUACAAUUUAAAAAAUAAAAGAAAUCAUGUCGCAUUGUCCGUACUACUUUACGACGCUGCAUGCAAAUAUCACACCGAGAAUAUCGCUGCUGCGCAAAACGAUCUGUACCAGCCGCGACCUUGACACUAACCUAGCACAACGGCCCACCAUUUAGACCGGGUUACGGAGGAAAUACUACGCAGGAAUCUCUUCCUUUGCACCGAAUGGAAAGUUAACAUAUAAUUUACGAUAUCAUUCAAAGACUUCAAACUAUGGAAAAGUAAUUUAAAAGUGGCAAACACAACAGAUCUAUGUUUCAUUGAUGUUUCAUGAAAUUCAAAAUCUUCUUGGAAGAGUAAUUUAAAAUUGCUUUAACAGAGAAGACAUUGGAAUUUUCAAUUAAAUUUUGCUAUAAAAAAGGUUUCAAAAACUUCAAAUCAAAUAUGUUUUUUUAUGAUUUUAUAUGAAAAUAUAAAUUGAACAAGUUUAAAAGGAGAUCGGACGCACCUUUAAGGAUUCGGGCAAAUAGCCAUCAAGGAAAUCCAAGAGUUUAGGUAGUUCUUCCUUGGCAAGCAAACGAAAGUUUCUGCCUCGUUCCAUCGCUUCAGGACACUCCAUACUGAAAUUAAUUACCAAGAGAUCAUUGUCAUCCUAAACUGCGAAGGAUUUUCAUUUAUCGACAAGUAACCAACGACUACCUACAUGCAGCGAUUGCUGCAGAUAAUCACGCCAGUAUCACGAUAACAUCACAACGGAAAACACUAUGAUCCAAAUCGUAUAACUUCUUAAUGGAAAUAUCACAAGUAAAAAAUUUUAAACAUUUUAUUGUUGGCGCACCAAUGACUAAUGAUUUAUCGUAUCUAUUCUUAAUCGGCAUAUUAUAAUUAUGCUUCUUCGAUUUACCUUAAUAAAUUAAUCGCGUGAUUGUUAUUCCAGCAAAUCGUAAAUAAUAAUCACUGUAAUCGACGGAUAUUCGAUUGUCGAAAGAAAUGAGAAUUACGCGGCGUGAAAUCGGCCGGAGGUGAGAAUAGUUGCGGGCUAUUAUCAAGAGGUAGUUCCAACGGAGGCACCCGCCCUCGCCGCCCCCUGAACCCGCACUGCCGCCCCUAGGUCACCAUUACCCUCCUUGCACCUAACACCACUAGUCCCAGUACUAGUCCCAGCGCAGGCGCCUUUUUUCUUCAAUAUCGUAUCAUUAGCUUCCAGUACCCAGCACUACAGAAUUUUGCGUUCAUUUAAUUGCAGGAUUGUAUUAAUCGAAUUUAUUUAAAACUUCUUUUCAAUCAUUAUGGUUAAUGUUUAAAAGAAAAAUCUUAAAAAAAUAAGAUAAUUAAGAAUAAAUAAUUCAAAAUUUUUCUUUGUUGAUUACAAAUAUUUCAAUUGUUCUAACUUUAGUUAAAUUAUAAUGAUUAAUAUUAAUUUAUUUGAAGGAUAAUUAUUAGUAUUAAUGUAUAUAAAUAUAUAUUUAUUAUAUGAUUGUUGUAAAAAUUAUCUAUGUUAUAUACGAAUCAAUAUUUUUAAAAAGAUAUCAUUGAAUUAUGAUUAAGUAUGCGUAUAAUUUAUUUUAAAGAAAUAUAUCGAUUCUUUCUUUCA